RNAcentral lists this ribosomal RNA (500 nucleotides) under uncultured bacterium. RNAcentral describes it as "partial 16S ribosomal RNA". It matches the Rfam family "Bacterial small subunit ribosomal RNA", at positions 28 to 507 of the family's 1533-position model. The record is from RNAcentral.
GACGAACGCUGGCGGAGGGAGGAACACAGGCAAGUCGAACGGGUCUGCCCUGUUUUUUGCGGGGUGGGUCAGUGGCGAACGGGUGAGUAACACGUGAGUAACCUGCCCCUCACUUCUGGAUAACCGCUUGAAAGGGUGGCUAAUACGGGGUGUUCUGGCUGUGCCGCAUGGUGUGGCUGGGAAAGAUUCACUUUUGUGGUGUUUUGGUGGGGGAUGGGCUCGCGGCCUAUCAGCUUGUUGGUGGGGUGAUGGCCUGCCAAGGCUUUGACGGGUAGCCGGCCUGAGAGGGUUGGCGGUCACACUGGGACUGAGAUACGGCCCAGACUCCGGCGGGAGGCAGCAGGGGGGGGUAUUGCACAAUGGGCGGAAGCCUGAUGCAGCGACGUCGCGUGAGGGAUGGAGGCCUUCGGGUUGUGACCUUCUUUCGCCGGUGAAGAAGGUCCUGCUCUUUGUGGUGGGGUUGACGGUAGCCGGGUUAUGAAGCGCCGGCUAACUACGUG